UUGGUGAGAAUGAUUCAAAGCUUGAGAGCUCAGCGAGUGCUCAGAUUGCCUUGGAGCUUGUCAUUUUUCAUGACAUUGUGUGGUUUGUUUCACUUGAAUCAGAUUCUUUAUUUGCUUGUUCUCCUCCGUUGUGAUUCUACUACGUCAAUGGAGACAUAACUGUAGUCCAACUGCAUUUCCUGUGGGUGCUUCUUCCGCGGAAUAUAAUGCCGUUGCCAUAAAUACAUGUGAAGGAGUUCCUGGACCUGACAUUCACAUUUGGGUUAAAAGCCCCCUUACCAUUGUUGUUGAAUGUUGUUCAAUGUGAAACUCCUAAGCCAGACCUGACAUCUGGUAAGAGUAAUUUGGGGAUUGAAUUGGACCCAAUUGUCAAGCUCAACUCACACGAAGAGCAAUAGUGACGCCCACGUGAAGGAGUAUCGAAGAGCUCUGUAUGAAGCUUUAAGUAACAUUAUCUUUACAGUUUCUUCAGUCCACUGCAAAACAUUUGAGGGGAAUGCACAAGAUUUUGUGCUUGUUUUGGUGAUUGUAUUUGAAUUCAAGUUUUGCUUUCAAGCUAGGAUUGUUGGGGUGUGGGGAUGCUCAUUAGAUUAGAAAGAAAGACUCUUGAUGAUGGCAUGAAGUGAUCGGUUCUUGGUGAUGCUAGGAUUGGCUCAAAACAAUUAUAGUUAAUCAGGGUUUGGAAAUUGGUUUUUGAAGAGGAUCACGUGGAUUAUUUGAUUCUGGUGCUUUGAUUGCUGCAGCAAACAGAUCUCAUGGCGAGCAACUAACCCCAAUAGUUUCGACUGACCGUGCUUUGCCCUAGCUCCUGCACUGCUCUUGGUCACGAUUCGAGGGCCGCUGAAGGGGUGCUUUUAUCUGCGGCCAUGGUAUUCUCCCAAUACCCCCUACUAUGGUCAUUUUGCCAUCUUGUUUGCUCUCAGUGAUUUGCCUGAGGUCGAUUACUCACAAAAAGUUAAGCAAAGUAUGAGUGAUCAUGCCUACACAAGUUUCCUGGUUUGGUUUUCUCGUGAUAAGAGCCACAAGAAAACCUCAGGCAGAAACGUUGUUUGAAUCUUCUUCCAAAAUUUAGAGUUACUUUGCUCACUCCUAUCUCUUAAGGUUUGGUACAUGAUAAUUUCAUCGCCAACUUUUCCUUCCCAAAGCACAAUAUGAUUGUCUUUUUAUGAGGCUAGUAUAUUUGGAGGUAGUCUUGAUAAAAUUUCAUGAUUUGUCUAUUUGUCUGGGAUGGUACUUUAAUUGAAUGUGCAGGGAUUGUUGUCUUCGCUGCGGAGGCUUUACAGAUCGCAGGCCGAUGAAGCGAGGAUCUUGUUUUUGGGCUUGGACAAUGCAGGAAAGACCACCAUUUUAAAACUGUUGGCAGAUGGAGACAUCCAGACAGUGACGCCUACGCAGGAUCAUGUCGCUUCGUCUUUUCCAUAUGUUGACAGGGCUUCCACAUUCAGUCACUAAUCUAUGAAGGUUUCAGGUUAAAUGUGUGGGAUAUAGGCGGUAUGUGCCUUCGUCAUAUGCUAUUGUUUGAGUUUUGAACAACGUCAGCAGACUGCAGUAAUAGUUCCCGGUUUCGGAAUCUGUGUGGAAAGUAUCCAUGUUUUUGGUGCAUCAACCCAACCUCAAUCGUAAUUGAUUAGAAGCAUCUCAUCAUCUUCUUCACAGAACAGUAUUGCACGCACCGUGAUAGUUUUGUUUUGGCAGGUCAAAGGGCAAUCAGACCAUACUGGCGGAAUUACUUCGAAACAACAGAUGCCUUGGUAUAUGUUUUCGACUGUGCUGAUAGGCACCGUCUUAAGGAGAGUGGUACAUGUUCACACUAAUCACCCAGCCUGGUAGCUUCAAGCGUUACAAAUAAACUCAAUCUUUUUCUAAGUACCAUACUGUCUGAGUUUCAAUUACUCUAAAAAAAGAGAUAGCUGGGGAAUGGGUUGAGUGCAGGGGAUGAGUUGAGCCUGCUCCUCGAGGAAGAGAAGAUAAUUGGCGUCCCACUACUCGUUCUGGCCAACAAGCAGGAUCUUCGACAUGCACUUCCAGCUGAUGAGGUAGCAGCUGGCUUGAAUCUCGUG
This is a non-coding RNA of Physcomitrium patens, 2060 nucleotides long. NCBI's taxonomy places the organism in Eukaryota, Viridiplantae, Streptophyta, Bryopsida, Funariales, Funariaceae. The record is from RefSeq and is a predicted model, not a curated record.